UGCUUGUCGUGACGAUCGGUCUGGUGAUGGCGGUGCUCGGAUCCCUGAUGAUGGCGAGCAAUUACCGAGCCACCGGGUCAUCGCGGCGCCCGCUGCCACCACGCCCAGGUUCCUAGCAAUCUAGAGAAGCUCCUUAUCCACUAUCCGAGACGUCAGCGCCAGAGCACCGGUGUUUCCCCCCGCGGUGGCACCGCGGCGGACCCCUGGCUCCAACGAAGCAUCCUGGGCACUCCAAACGGUCCCCGCCCUCAAUCUCCACCACCCACCAUCCCUGUGCAUUGCAUUGCCUCCAGGGUCGGUCACCGUGGCCUGACCGGCGGUUUGGGUGGGGAUAGGCUGUGGCGGCUCUCGUCUCGCUCUCCCUCCCAAUCUCUGUGCGAAGCUCUCGGUGAUGUUGUGUCUUGGGGACUUCA
This 413-nucleotide long non-coding RNA is filed under the name Zea mays. Its description in RNAcentral is "long non-coding RNA NONZMAT003447". Lineage: Eukaryota; Viridiplantae; Streptophyta; Magnoliopsida; Poales; Poaceae. The record is from RNAcentral.